AGAGGUGUAGUUCAGUGGCACAGCACCUGCCUUACAAGCAUAAGACCCUGAGUUCAAUUUCCAGUAUCCCUG
Molecule: transfer RNA, 72 nt
Filed under: Fukomys damarensis (Damara mole-rat)
Lineage: Eukaryota; Metazoa; Chordata; Mammalia; Rodentia; Bathyergidae
Rfam family: tRNA
About the family: Transfer RNA (tRNA) molecules are approximately 80 nucleotides in length. Their secondary structure includes four short double-helical elements and three loops (D, anti-codon, and T loops). Further hydrogen bonds mediate the characteristic L-shaped molecular structure. tRNAs have two regions of fundamental functional importance: the anti-codon, which is responsible for specific mRNA codon recognition, and the 3' end, to which the tRNAs corresponding amino acid is attached (by aminoacyl-tRNA synthetases). tRNAs cope with the degeneracy of the genetic code in two manners: having more than one tRNA (with a specific anti-codon) for a particular amino acid; and 'wobble' base-pairing, i.e. permitting non-standard base-pairing at the 3rd anti-codon position.
Source: Rfam by way of RNAcentral